Long non-coding RNA from Symphalangus syndactylus (siamang), 233 nucleotides. RefSeq lists it as uncharacterized. The record is from RefSeq and is a predicted model, not a curated record. NCBI's taxonomy places the organism in Eukaryota, Metazoa, Chordata, Mammalia, Primates, Hylobatidae.
GAGAAAUACUUGCUUUCUUUAUGAUAACCUUAGCAGUUUGUUUGACUCAUUAAGUCAAGUUCCUAACUCUCAACUCAUUUCAAAGUUUGACACUGGAAAGUGAUCAAGAAGCAUAAGAUCUCCAGGUGAAGUGUGUUUAUUGUAAGCAAGACAUCAUGACCACUGCCACUAUAGGCCCACAGAGAGUGCUGCCAAGCUACCACUGAUGUUACCUUAAGGCCAAAGGGCUCUUC